Molecule: ribosomal RNA, 253 nt
Filed under: uncultured bacterium
Lineage: Bacteria
Description: partial 16S ribosomal RNA
Rfam family: Bacterial small subunit ribosomal RNA
Source: RNAcentral
UACGGAGGGUGCUAACGUUGUUCGGAAUCACUGGGCAUAAAGCGCACGUAGGCGGCUUGGUAAGUGCGGUGUGAAAGCCCCCGGCCUAACCGGGGAACCGCAUCGCAGACUGCCAGGCUCGAGAGCGGGAGGGGAGACUGGAACUCCUGGUGGAGCGGUGAAAUGCGUAGAUAUCAGGAGGAACACCGGUGGUGAAAACGAGUCUCUGGUCCGCUUCUGACGCUCAGGUGCGAAAGCUAGGGGAGCAAACGGG